UGUUUCUCUAUAUGCCCUAGCCAUUCUACGAGCCAUAUCUGUUGCAUUUUCACAUACAUCAUACUUUUUCUUUGCUUAAAGAAAACGUGCAAAUAUUUAAACUUUCAUAUCAUGCAAUUCCCUUUAAGCCCUUAGCUUUUGCCCAAGUCCAUUACAUAUCUUUAAAUAACACAUCUCUAAAUCAUAUCAAAGCAUCAUAACAUAAACAUAAUCAUUAACUUUAAACAUGAACAUACCUGGGCCAUAGGAUGAGAUUGAUGGAUGGAUGCACGAUGUCAUGGAAUACCUUAAACUUUUCAUUUUCCUUUU
RNAcentral lists this long non-coding RNA (309 nucleotides) under Olea europaea (common olive). RNAcentral's name for it is "long non-coding RNA (OEUR_LNC000768)". Lineage: Eukaryota; Viridiplantae; Streptophyta; Magnoliopsida; Lamiales; Oleaceae. The record is from RNAcentral.